This 401-nucleotide ribosomal RNA is filed under the name uncultured bacterium. RNAcentral describes it as "bacterial SSU rRNA". It matches the Rfam family "Bacterial small subunit ribosomal RNA", at positions 32 to 413 of the family's 1533-position model. The record is from RNAcentral.
AAUCAACGCUGGCGGCGUGCCUCAGACAUGCAAGUCGAACGCGAAAGUUCCCUUCGGGGGAUAAGUAGAGUGGCGUCCGGGUGAGUAACACGUAGGUAAUCUACCUUUGGGUGGGGAAUAACAACCGGAAACGGUUGCUAAUACCGCAUAAUGCAGCGGCACCACAUGGUGACAGUUGUUAAAGCGGGGGAUCGCAAGACCUCGCGCCUAAAGAGGAGCCUGCGGCGGAUUAGCUAGUUGGAGGGUAACGGCCUACCAAGGCAACGAUCCGUAGCCGGCCUGAGAGGGCGGUCGGCCACACUGACACUGAAAUACGGGUCAGACUCCUACGGGAGGCAGCAGUCGGGAAUUUUGGGCAAUGAGCGAAAGCCUGACCCAGCAACGCCGCGUGAAGGAUGAAA